Fundulus heteroclitus (mummichog) is the source of this 565-nucleotide long non-coding RNA. RefSeq lists it as uncharacterized. NCBI's taxonomy places the organism in Eukaryota, Metazoa, Chordata, Actinopteri, Cyprinodontiformes, Fundulidae. The transcript has 3 exons. The record is from RefSeq and is a predicted model, not a curated record.
AGAGUAGAGAGAAGGCAGGAGAGCUGUGGCUGCACAAAAGCAAAAACAUGGCAUGAGAAAAUGCGAAUAAUUACACUUUCAUCAGUUUAGUAGGAGGAAGAUCAAAGGGGCAGUCUGUAGGUUUCAUAGAAUUAACUAUUUUGUUCAGAAGAGAGUAAGACUCUGGUUCAAACUGCUCAAUUACAGCAGAAUAAGCAAUUCCGCCUUUCUGCGUUGACACCAGACUUCCUAUGUUGUCCUGCUGUUCAGCCAACGCUCAGCUCUGGGUUGGAAACGUUUGAAUUUAACAGGGGCAACACAGUCCAGGAUCUCAGGUCAAGCCUUGUAAAAGGAGGAGAGAAAAUUGACCUACUGAUGAGUGAAACUGAGUCCAUGAAAUCAGCAGUAAACUGUUCAGCAGUGGUUGAGUUUGGAGUGAAGCCUCACACAUGGAGCUAGUUUGGGUCAUCAACCUGGGAGGAUGGAUGAUUACACACAUCUACUUGCUUCCCUCCGAAUUUGAGAAUUCUCCACAAAGCUACGAACCCUGGACCAGAACCCGGAGAGAGAACUAUUGCCUUAUUUA